Molecule: ribosomal RNA, 497 nt
Filed under: uncultured bacterium
Lineage: Bacteria
Description: partial 16S ribosomal RNA
Rfam family: Bacterial small subunit ribosomal RNA
Source: RNAcentral
GAUGAACGCUGGCGGCGUGCCUAAUACAUGCAAGUCGAGCGAACAGACGAGGAGCUUGUUCCUCUGAUGUUAGCGGCGGACGGGUGAGUAACACGUGGAUAACCUACCUAUAAGACUGGGAUAACUUCGGGAAACCGGAGCUAAUACCGGAUAACAUGUUAAACCGCAUGGUUCAACAGUGAAAGACGGUCUUGCUGUCACUUAUAGAUGGAUCCGCGCCGCAUUAGCUAGUUGGUAAGGUAACGGCUUACCAAGGCAACGAUGCGUAGCCGACCUGAGAGGGUGAUCGGCCACACUGGAACUGAGACACGGUCCAGACUCCUACGGGAGGCAGCAGUAGGGAAUCUUCCGCAAUGGGCGAAAGCCUGACGGAGCAACGCCGCGUGAGUGAAGAAGGUCUUCGGAUCGUAAAACUCUGUUAUUAGGGAAGAACAAAUGUGUAAGUAACUAUGCACGUCUUGACGGUACCUAAUCAGAAAGCCACGGCUAACUACGUG